CAAAAAGAACUCUUGUCUGCCAUUUUGAAUAUACUGAAUAGAGAUCAUCAUCAAGAAUGAUGGAAAGAAGAUUGCGCAAUGCGCAUGUUUGUUUUCAGUCAGCUGUUCUUGCUGACGUCACGGUUGACUUAUUAUUCGCCCGAGCUUUUGAAAGUGAAUUCGAUUGUGUUUUCAAGUGUUGUAUUAAUUGUGAAAUUUUUUAUUUUUUAAAAUGCGUUGCGCAGUGUUCGGGUGUAAUAUUAAUAACGGUAAAAAUUGUGCUACGAAUUGGAGAUUUUUUCAUUUCCCUAAAGAUAAAGCAGUAGUAAAACAAUGGAUUAAUUUUUGUCGUCGCACGGACAAAAUUAAUGUUAAAAAUGCAUGCAUUUGUGAAGUGCACUUCGCGCCAGAAGCCUUCGAAAGAAACUUGCAGUUUGAAAUGGUUCGCGGAAUCCAAUUAAGUUGCUACCUAGGGCUUUUCCCACGUUAACCACUGCUCCUGCAGAGGCUAAUGAACGGCAAAAAAGAAUGGAGUCUCGUUUCAAAAAAGAGAUGUUAACGACAAUUUUGAAGAAUACCGCCCCUGUUGAAGUAAUUCAAGAAAACGAGGUUGGAGAGGUACUUCAAACUGCAGGAGAGGAGGUCAUUGAUGAGAAAGACGAGAAAAUACUGCAUUUGGAAACAGAAAUACAAAGGCUGAAUAGUGUUGAUAGCACUUUGGUAAGUGCAAAAACGAGCAGUUAGCAGAAGUUGAACUCCUUAGGAUUUCCAUUAAAACCUCGGAAUUCCACAGUAAUAAUUUGGAGCAAAAACUUAGCUGCAUUUUUACUAACGGCUAGGUAAUAUUUUUCAACGUGUGUCAGUUGAUCUAAACUCCACUGACCCAACUGAAAAAAAUGAUGACUUGGAGAUUCUCAACAACGACGGACUUGAAAAUUUGGCAGGGCAACCCCGAAAUUUGUGCCAAUUCAGAAAAUUGUUCAUCUUAUACUUGGGUGUAUCACCUUUCCGCAGGAGGACUCUCAAAACCAACAGAUAUGUUGUGAUCCAUCAACAUGUGAGACCCUUGCAAGCAGUAUUUGACGAUGUAAAUGAUACUGAUUUGCAUAUAUGUACAAAUUACGCCCAGAAGCACUUAGAUUUACGUAAUUUUUUAAAUUUUAGCU
This is a long non-coding RNA of Bactrocera tryoni, 1145 nucleotides long. RefSeq lists it as uncharacterized. NCBI's taxonomy places the organism in Eukaryota, Metazoa, Arthropoda, Insecta, Diptera, Tephritidae. The transcript is spliced from 4 exons. The record is from RefSeq and is a predicted model, not a curated record.